GUUGAGCCUGGCAAAAAUAAAAAUUAGGUUCUCAUUGUCAUGAGCAUAGUUGCUAUUUCACCCAACUUUCACUGGAGGGAGGAGGACAGGGUUAUACUGAAAUGGUCUUGUGAAACUAAGCAAAAUGAAACAAUAUAGAAGGGCCAAGGAUUCACCACUUAAACAGUAGCCAGUGAUAAUGCAACAGUCAGUCUAGACAGGACAAAUAACAAACACAUGAGGUGAGGGUUGCUGAGCCCAGAAAUAAAAGCUCAGGCCUGGAUUUUUAGUUGUUAUGUCUAGAACUAGGCGUUUCCAUAGAGAAUCCAAGUAGAAUUACUGGAUAUUACACUCUAACCAAAAGACUCUGGUUGUACUAAGAACUUGACUCUUAAAGAUAAAUUCAGGGUACAGUUCUCACAGGAUGACAGGGAAAAAUACCCAGGAAGUUCAGCAGGUCAAGGGGCAGCAGGAUGCAUGUCACCUGGUGGAUCCCACUGGGCAGGUUUAUAAAUGUACAAGAUUAAGAAGGAGGAAACAUAAACCUAAGGACAGCACUGCUACCAGUUGUCAAUUUCUAGAUUUUUUCACUGUCCCCAGAAAGCCUCCUACAGCUUAAGAAACUCUUAACAGGAAACAUACCAUUUUAUCAAGUGAUCUCAUGAAUGGUUUAAUAAUUCCUUUUCUAAAAGACAUUUGAGAACAAUCACUGAUCUAUGCUGUAAGUUUUCAGACUAGUACAUAACCACUUUACAUGUGGUGUGAGAACUUUAGAAACCAGAAAGCCUUAAAUUAUGCUGAUAUAACAUCUGUAUGAAAUUUGUAUGUCUUAAGAAGGGGGGAAAUCUCAGAUUUUUUCAUUGACAUUUAUGUAUAUUUAACCCCUAAGAAAAGUAUGGCUUAUAAUUCUCUGAAAACUUAAAUCCACAGCAAACAUCCUAAUUUUAUUUUUAUAAAAAUGAGAAGUCUGUUCCUUUUUAAGACUACAUUAUGGUUAUUAUGUUUAAAAAGCUUACAAACAGGUACAAAAUGGGAAGCAUUUACUAAAUAUCCUAGAUAUUUUCAUCUGUCUGUAUAGAUGUAGUGAACCUAAAGAAAGAUAGUGGCUUUUUAAACUAUUCUUCCCAUUUCUGACUUUAAUGUUCUA
Molecule: long non-coding RNA, 1126 nt
Organism: Phyllostomus discolor (pale spear-nosed bat)
Lineage: Eukaryota; Metazoa; Chordata; Mammalia; Chiroptera; Phyllostomidae
Exons: 2
Source: RefSeq, a predicted model, not a curated record